RNAcentral lists this ribosomal RNA (1501 nucleotides) under Anophryoides haemophila. RNAcentral's name for it is "partial Bacterial small subunit ribosomal RNA". It matches the Rfam family "Bacterial small subunit ribosomal RNA". The record is from RNAcentral. Lineage: Eukaryota; Ciliophora; Oligohymenophorea; Philasterida; Glauconematidae.
AUGGAGAGUUUGAUCCUGGCUCAGGAUGAACGCUAGCGGCAGGCCUAAUACAUGCAAGUCGAACGGUAACAGGACCAGCAAUGGUCGCUGACGAGUGGCGCACGGGUGCGUAACACGUAUGCAAUCUACCUUUAACUGGAGAAUAGCCCCGAGAAAUCGGGAUUAAUACUCCAUAAUAUUAUGAAGUGGCAUCACUUUAUAAUUAAAGCUCAGGCGGUUAAAGAUGAGCAUGCGCGAUAUUAGCUAGUUGGUGAGGUAACGGCUCACCAAGGCUACGAUAUCUAGGGGAUCUGAGAGGAUUUACCCCCACACUGGUACUGAGACACGGACCAGACUCCUACGGGAGGCAGCAGUAAGGAAUAUUGGACAAUGGGCGCAAGCCUGAUCCAGCCAUGCCGCGUGCAGGAUGACGGCCCUAUGGGUUGUAAACUGCUUUUGUACGGGAAAAAACCCUUCUACGUGUAGAAGGCUGAUGGUACCGUAAGAAUAAGGAUCGGCUAACUCCGUGCCAGCAGCCGCGGUAAUACGGAGGGUGCAAGCGUUGUCCGGAUUUAUUGGGUUUAAAGGGUGCGUAGGCGGCCCCUUAAGUCAGUGGUGAAAGCCCGCGGCUCAACCGCGGAACUGCCAUUGAUACUGGGGGGCUUGAGUACAGACGAGGUGGGCGGAAUUGAAGAUGUAGCGGUGAAAUGCUUAGAUAUCUUCAAGAACACCGAUUGCGUAGGCAGCUUACUAGGCUGUAACUGACGCUGAGGCACGAAAGCGUGGGGAGCGAACAGGAUUAGAUACCCUGGUAGUCCACGCUGUAAACGAUGAUCACUCGAUGUUGGCGAUAUACUGUCAGCGUCCAAGCGAAAGUGUUAAGUGAUCCACCUGGGGAGUACGAUCGCAAGAUUGAAACUCAAAGGAAUUGACGGGGGCCCGCACAAGUGGUGGAGCAUGUGGUUUAAUUCGAUGAUACGCGAGGAACCUUACCUAGGCUAGAAUGCGCGUGACCGCCUCAGAGAUGAGGCUUUCCUUCGGGACACAAAGCAAGGUGCUGCAUGGCCGUCGUCAGCUCGUGCCGUGAGGUGUUGGGUUAAGUCCCGCAACGAGCGCAACCCCUAUGUUUAGUUGCCAGCGGAUAAUGCCGGGGACUCUAGACAGACUGCCUGCGCAAGCAGUGAGGAAGGCGGGGACGACGUCAGGUCAUCAUGGCCCUUACGCCUAGGGCUACACACGUGCUACAAUGGACGGUACAGCGGGUUGCCAACCAGCGAUGGUGCGCCAAUCCCGAAAAGCCGUUCUCAGUUCGGAUCGGAGUCUGCAACUCGACUCCGUGAAGCUGGAAUCACUAGUAAUCGCGUAUCAGCAAUGACGCGGUGAAUACGUUCCCGGGCCUUGUACACACCGCCCGUCAAGCCAUGAAAGUCUGGUAGACCUGAAGCCGGUGCUCCGCAACGAAGCCGGUUAGGGUAGAACAGGUAAUUAGGGCUAAGUCGUAACAAGGUAGCCGUACCGGAAG